AAAAAAAAGUAAGAAAGAUGAUGAAUGUAACCUGAACUUUGCAGAAAGGUAGCUCUCCAGAAACCAAGACUGGACACUCCUAAUGUGCAUGAAUGAGAUCAGAGAUAAAGUCAAUGGGAUGAUUUUCAGAUUCUCAUUAUUUCAUGUAAAUUACUUCGCACACAAGAAAAGUGUAAACUACAUUUCAGGUACAUUUUCAUCCAUGUUUAGAUUCAACUGAUUGAUCAGAAUCAUUCUAGACUAUGGAUGGCAUAUCUAAUAUAAAACUCUUAAGAGGCUUAGAUCACGUCUCUUCAGAAGAAGAUCAUAAUUGAACAUCUAUUUUGCUUGAAUUCUUAUGAACUGCAGCCAUCUAAUUAUUCUCUAUUUGCUUUUGUGUUUCUACCUCAGGAUGCCCAUCCUAUCAUAACUAGAGAUUAUGCCAGAUUCAGUCUGGAUCCAGCCUCUUACAAAGAUUUUAGAUGACCCCAACACCUGUUAAGAGAUGACACCGACCCCCACGAGGACCUCAGAUGACGACAACUCUGAAUCAUCAUAAAAACUGCCAAAUUUUACGUGAAGCUGCACUGUAAAAAGUGCUACACCCACACAGUAGGUUUUAUAUAUUUUAAAUAGUUGUAAUCUAGUUUAUUUUAUUUGUUUUAUACUAAAAAGUAUAAAUAUACUUCCUCUUUACUUAAAAUAUAUCACUUUUUACAUAACAAUAUAUUUUAAGUAAAACAAUAGCAAUUUAUUUGGGUAGCUUUUUGUAUGAGUUUGUUGUGUACAAGAAAUGUUAUAAAAGUGAGUUGACAUACACAAUUUAUUUGAGCAGCUGUCGAUGUGGCAUGUGUGUUCAUCAAACUUAAAUAUUUGAAAUAAAAAACACAUAAAAAUUAAGUUGGAUUUAUCCCUUUUUCACUGUCGGGGACUUUCCAAGGCAGAUGCUUCCUCGGCACUUCAACUGUUUGAAAGCUGCAGCGGAUCUAAAUUUCACAGACUGAUUAACACGUCUCCGGUGGGGCAUGCAGCUGUCGUGGGGUCCUCGUGUUAUCAGCAGCAGAGUUGUAACCAAGCGUUUUUGUUACCUGGGGUCUUCAGAUACAGGUAAGAAAAACUUCAGAAUAGAUACAGUUAAAGCUAUAAUUAUUCCCAGGUAAGUAAAACAUAGGUAAAAUUGCAAACAAUAGUGUUGGCUCCAUACAAUUACAUUUCUGAAUUAGGUUGUAUGUACCAACCACCAAUAGAAGGCAGAUAUGAUCACCUUUCUGCCUCCUUCUACUACUGCACUAAUAGAAGCUUGAUUCAUACUGAUAAAUACAGCCUACAUGGUCAGUUAAAUCUCAAUUUUGUGAGAUGCUGGUGAUAGUGUGAGAUCUUGUACAGUACAGUGGUAGUGGUGUAUGUAUAGUACAACCUUUUACAUCAAUUGCAUGGUUGAAAUACAGAGGUUCCGUCUGGCUAUGUGGAGAAAAGGAGAGAAGUGGUACUGAGAUGCCUGAUUGAGAACAUAUGGGAGGGAAAGGAAAACCUCAUCAGUGUCCACCAUGUAUGUACUGGGCUUAAAGCUACUUAUCUAAUUUCUGUCUGUAUGUUAUUACUAUUGUGAUGAUAUGGGGUAAUUACUUUGUUCUUGAAAUAUAUUUAAUACAGUAAUGUGAUGACCAAUAAGGUACAGGCAAGGAAAAUUGCAUUGUUUUAUUGUAAUGUAUCCUUUGAACCAGAAAAGACAACACUCAUGCUACAGUAGAUCAUGAUAGUAUAGUACCAACACUCUAUGACAUUGUCAUGGUAGACUUCACUCUGGUCACAUGCUCUAGUCAAAGUAUCCAUCUAGUAUCCAUCACCUUAAGCAACUAAAAAGUACAAUUUUGACUUUGUGUCGUAUCUGUCUUCUACCAGUCUGCUAUAUUCAUCUCAAUACCUGUUUGUCUGACCAAACUCUUGAUUCUUUUUUGUCUUCCCAAUAGAGUCAUGAUGAAACAGAGGUGUACGCUGAGCUUGGCAGUUCCCCACUGAAAAUAUACAUGCGCCAUCAGCCAAAUACGAUUGGGAUUAUCACAGUAGAAGGACAGCCCAUGGUCAGAGGUGUGCCAAACCUGUAGAAAACCUCCUGUGUGGACUUGUCUAUGCCCACAACCUCUAAUAUCACUCAAAUCUGGUGUAUACUUCUGAGAUAUAUCACAGGCUCUUUGUGGGAUUGGACCCUAUGCAUACUUUUGUAUGUUUUGUAGGCACUGUUAAAAGUGACACUAGUUGACAUUGAAUAAAUGUUAUUGUCUUUAA
Long non-coding RNA from Carassius auratus (goldfish), 2265 nucleotides. RefSeq lists it as uncharacterized. NCBI's taxonomy places the organism in Eukaryota, Metazoa, Chordata, Actinopteri, Cypriniformes, Cyprinidae. The transcript is spliced from 3 exons. The record is from RefSeq and is a predicted model, not a curated record.